RNAcentral lists this long non-coding RNA (1021 nucleotides) under Heterocephalus glaber (naked mole-rat). Its description in RNAcentral is "lncRNA (ENSHGLG00100046480.1)". The record is from RNAcentral. Lineage: Eukaryota; Metazoa; Chordata; Mammalia; Rodentia; Bathyergidae.
CACUUUUUUUAUUUUUUAGACAGAAUCUUGUUAAAUUGCCAAAUUGCCCCAGCUGAAUUCGAACUUCGAUUCUCCCUACCUCACGCUCGGCUGUUUGGUAUGAUUUUUACUUAGUUUAUCAGUAUUUUUUUUCCUAUUUGAAGAGAGUAAUAUCUAGUCUGAUACUACCUAUUAUUGGUAUUGGAACUAGUGGGUUUAAAGGGGUUUUUUAAUUUUGUUUUGUUUUUACCGUGUGUGUGAUACUGAAGCUUGAACUCAGAGCCUCCCAUAUGCUAGGCAAGGGCUGUAACACUACGCUACAUCCAGCCCAUUUUGUUUUCUAGACAGGGUCUUGUUAAGUUACCUAGACUGGCCUUGAAUUUGCAAUCCUCCUACCUGAGCCUCCCAGUGACUGGGAUUACAGCAUGCCAUCCAGCGCCGAGUUUAUAACUGUCCACAACAGUGCUGCCCUGUAAAACUUCUUGCUGUGAUGGAAGUAUUCUACAUGUCUGCCUUAACAGGGUAGCCACUGGCCAUUGGGGGCUCUUGAGCCCUUGAAAUAUGGCUAUUGCUACUGUCUGAAUUUUCAAUUUAAUUUCAAUGUGAAUAGUCACUUUCAGCUGGUGACAACUGCACUGGACACAGGACUGGGAGGAGACCAUUAAGUUUGCUUGGAACCGAGUGAUGCACCAGGUUUAGUGCUAAAACCCUGGAAAUCCUAGGCAAAACGCUGAACUUCAGAAUCCCAUCCAGUUUCUGACAUGCCUGGGGCAAUUUCGAGGGAUACUCUAAAUAAAAAAGUAAAGCACAAGAAAGAAGCUCAUUUUCUUCCUGGUCCUAGGAUUGUCAGACAGCAUGUCUCCGGGCACAUACCCAUUCAGGCGCUGGUCUCAGAAGACAGAGAGGAAUUCGAGCCCUUGAAAGUUAAUCAGAGAGUGAUGGAAAGGCCUGAUACCAGUAUGUCACUCCCCACUUCAGUGUGCAGACCUCAAACUUACCCAGUGUCCCUUCUCUGAAGCCCUUCAGCCGAAAAAUAGAAAUG